This is a long non-coding RNA of Myotis daubentonii (Daubenton's bat), 4756 nucleotides long. RefSeq lists it as uncharacterized. The transcript has 4 exons. The record is from RefSeq and is a predicted model, not a curated record. Lineage: Eukaryota; Metazoa; Chordata; Mammalia; Chiroptera; Vespertilionidae.
AUUUGGUCUAUUUGCAUAUUAGGGUUUUAUUAUAUAGGAUGCUCUCAUAUAUAUUAAAAAACCUCUAACAAUGAUGGUAGAGCUUGUAGUGAUAUAAUCAUUAUCUUUAGGCAAAUAAAAUAUUAAUGGAAGCUUCUGAUCUAGAUUGAAAAGUAGGUAAAAGCUGUAUUUGCCUACUCCCAGAACCACUUCAAAAUUACAACUAAACUACAGAACAACCAUCAUUGAGAGCCUCCUCAAGUAUAGCUGAACAGAAGUCCAAUAAACUAAGGAUGUACAGAAGAAGCCAUACCGAGACUUAUAAGAGGGGUGGAAGGUCGAAUGGGCUGGUCCCAUACCCACAUGUGGUGGUUAAAAAUACAGAGGCAUAUUUUGGCUACAGAGGUUCCCCUCUGUGGAGCAAGGAGUCCCAGUCCCAUACAAGGCUCCCAGCCCAAGGUUCCAGUGUCAUAACUUCUAGCUGUAAAAACAAGCAGGGAUUGUGGCUGAGUGAGAUGGAUUGCUGCUGGAGUUCCAGACAUUCCUCUUAAAUGGCCUAUGCAUGGACUUACUCAGACUCACUUAUGCUGAGUACUGUGUUGAGCAGCAGGUCAAAAGGUGCCAAGGGCCCUGGCUGGUUUUGCACAAUGGUUAGAGUGUCAGCCUGUGGACUGAAGGGUUGUGGCUUUGAUUCCUGGUCAGGGGCACGUACCUUAGUUGCAGGCUUGAUACUGAAGGCAACCAAUCAAUGUGCCUCUCUCACAUCAAUGUUUCUCUCUCUCUCUCUCUCCGCUCUCCCUUCCAGUCUCUCUAAAAAUCAAUGAAAAAUAUAUCCUUGGGUGAGGAUUUAAAAAAAAAAAAAUGGUACCAAGGACACACAGGGAGAAACUGAAUUGCCUGGCUUCUUUAUAUUCCAGAUCACUGAUUUGAUUCUCAGCUUCAUCUACUCUACUGUUGAUUCCCUGUAAAUUAUUCUUCAUUUCAGUUAGUGUAUCUUUCAUUUCUGAUUAGUCCUGUUUUAUGCUGUUGAGGUUCUCAAUAAGUUCACUGAGUAUUUUUAUCACCAGUGUUUUGAACUCUACAUCUAGUAGAUUGCUUGUCUUCAUUUUGUUGAGUUAUUUUUCUGGAGUUUUGUUCUGUUCUUUCAUUUGGGACAUGUUUCCUUGUCUCCUCGUUUUGGCAGCCUUCCUGUGUUUGUUUCUAUGAAUUAAGUAGAGCUGCUGUUUCCUGAGCUUGGUAGAGUGGCCUUAUGUAGUAGGUGUUCUGAAGGGUCUAAUGCAGGGGUGGGCAAACUUUUUGACUCGAGGGCCACAAUGGGUUCUUAAACUGGACCGGAGGGCCGGAACAAAAGCAUGGAUGGAGUGUUUGUGUGAACUAAUAUAAAUUCAAAGUAAACAUCAUUACAUAAAAGGGUAUGGUCUUUUUUUCAAUAGUUUUAUUCAUUUCAAACAGGCUGGAUCCGGCCCGCGGGCCGUAGUUUGCCCACGGCUGGUCUAAUGGCACAGCCUCCCUGAUCACUGAAGCUGGGCACUCAAGGUGUAACUCCCCCUGCUCCCCAUAUGGGCUGUGUAUACCUUCUUAUUGUAGUUGAAUCUUGACUGCUUUGACAUGUCAAUGGGAGGGAAUUACCUCCAGGCAAAUCAGCUGCAAGGACUGGCUGCAACCAUUGACCACUGAUAUCUGACCAUCAUGGAGGAACAGCUCUGCAGGAGUCCACCCCACAGAGCAGUACGUACUUAAGCAGGGCUCUGGUGCCUGCUGAGUCUGCCCCUUGAGUGUGUUGUUUGUGGAGGCAGUUGGGUGGUGAUGCAUCGCCAUGUUCUGAUGCUGUCUCCUGGGUGCACUGGCUCUGGGGCUUCCCAGAAGGUGCAGGCCAAGGUCAGCUGCCACCUGUGUUCUACCUGGGCCCACCUAGCAUGAGCUAUAAAGUGAUUUGCUCAUGGCUGCUUAUUGUGCUGAGCUUGGAGGUACCCUGGCAAGGCCAUGCUGCAAACUAAGUCUGGCUGCUGCUAGUGCUGUGUCUAGGUUCACUUAGCAAAAGGUACAGGGCAUGUUGAGACCAGAUGCAGCUUGUUUGAUAUAUUUUAGGAAAGUCUGAAGCAUGAGUCAAGCCAGGCCAUUCAGAUGGAUAAACCGCUAGAAACAGCCUUAGGUGGGCUUGAAAGUUGUCUGGAAGGGCAGAAUUCUCCAAGACAGAAGUGCUGGCAGAAGCCAUUGGGGUCAGCCUUUGCUGACCCCUACCUCUGCAGGGUCAGGUAGGCAUUGUAUCUGAGUCUCCAUCAGCUUGGCUAACACUGUUGGUCCAUCCCUGGUUAAUCCCCGUGACCCUGCCCCACUCAAGCAGCUUCCAGUGGCUUUUCCAUACAAAGGGCUUACCUUGGCUCAUGCUGUGGAAUUUUCUAAAAUCUAUCAAAGGUUCACAAACUUCAAACAAGAAGCAUUUGGCUUUGGGACACCUCAUACCUCUUGCUAAGCAGUCCCAACUCCUGGCAGCCUGCCUCAGUUUACAGCGUGAUCUCUUCUGGGUACCUCCAAGCCCACUACAAGUACCAACCAUCUGCAUAUCAUUUUGUAGCUCAUACCAGGUGGCCCGGGUUUGGGCACAGGCAUCAGCUGACCUAGGCCUGCAUUUUCUUCCAGGAGGCCCCGGAGGCAGUGUACCUAGUGUACAUCUUCAGACCACAUUGAAGCACCAGCCAACCUCUCCCACAAGAGACACACUGAAGGGGUGGACUCAGCAGGCACCAGAGACCUUCUGAAGAACAAAGCACUUGAUGAAGUGCAAUAUGGAUCCCUUAAAAGAGGCAGAUGCAUGAAGUUUGGAGCAGUAAAUAAACUUGGAAUUUUGCAGUACAGAGAAAAAGGAGUAAAAGAGGAAGAGAAAAAGCAACAAAAGAAGAAAAAGUCAUUACCAAUAUGUGGAAUCUAAUGAACAAAAUAAACUCAUGAACAAAAUGGAACCAGAAGCAUGGACACAUGGAACAGACUGGCUGGUGCCCAAGCGGAGGGGGAUGUUACUAAAUAAAGAAGGUGAAGGGAUUAGCUAAAGAACAUGUAAUAUAUGUCAUAUAUGCAUACCCCAUGGACAUGGACAGUAGUGUGGGAAAGGCCAGGGGAGGGGGAGGCAGGAGUGGGUGGAGGUGGGCAAAGAGAGCAGGUGGAAAGGGGAACACCUGCAAUAAGGUCAACAUUAAAAAUGUUUUAUAAUAAAAAGGAAGAAAAUUCUAGUAAAGGAAGCUGAAGAGAAAGAUGAAAAUUUGAAAAAGGAGGAACCAAUGCUCAUAAAAUAUUUUUAAAAUAUUCAAAAGCAAAUGACUAGAACUAGGCAACACAAAAGUGUCGCUUAUCUCUCAUCCUCUCUUUUUAUAUCUGCAUCUCCACUACCAUCCAUCUCUCCCUCUUCCAGCCUUUCUGAUCAGGACAUUUUACAAAAGUCAAUAGUUUUGGGCAUUUUUUUUCAAUAUCAUAUUAGAGCUAUUGCUUGUCAUGACAUGGGUGCCUCUAAUUAUUAUUAUUAUUUUUAAAAAAUAUUUUUAUUGAUUUAAGAGAGAGAAAGGGAGAGGGAGAGAGAGAUGGAAACAAUGAUGAGAGAGAAUCAUUGACUGGCUGCCUCCUGCACGCCCCCUACUGGGGAUCAAGUCCACAACCCCAGGCAUAUGCCCUGAGUGGGAAUAAAACCAUGACCUGGUUUGUAGCUCGAUGCUCCACCACAGAGCCACACGGGCCAGGCAAGGGGGCCUCUAAUUAAAAAGAGAACUGCUUCUAACUGCUUUAUUAGUAGUAGUUGUCAAGUCAGCCUUCUUGCAAGAGACUACCUGAGAGGACAAUCCAAGAAGGGAAUCAAGCUGAAUGCACCUCUUACUACUGUCCUCAGGAUGGAGGCAAAGGACAUGCUCUGAGCCUGACAGCAUUAUGAAACUCCUGGGCUUGUCUGGCCCAUCCCUCCAAGGAGUGCACCACCUAGGACAGGCCAUUAUGAAAAUGAAGUUGCCACUGACUGGAAGUCAGUAGUGAUCUGCUGGGUUCAGAUGAACUCAAACAAGCAUGGAAGCCCGAAGGCCAGGCUGUGGAAGGUCAUCUCUGAACCUCCUUGAAGUAAGUUUUCAGACAGAUUUUUACUUAUUUAGUGUUGGUUUCUGAGGUGCCACUUCAUUGGGUUUUUAAGUUUGAUGCUCGGCAUAGAAACACGAGGUCUCUAAGUUGAGGGCCUCGCUGAAUGAGGGUGAUCAUUGGCAGACUCUCCAUUUUAUUUUUUUCUCUUUGCAGAAGUGUCUUUUUCCUUUGUUGAUGUUUUACACAAAGUGUUUGGUAGAAACACUUCCAAGAAAUUACUUCCCAAAAAGAAAAAGCAGAGUUGAAGGGCAAUGAAGAUGAAACUCAAGGACAAAUUUAUAAAAUAUAUACAGUCUAAUUUAGGUUUUAAAUGGCUUACAUCUCAUCUUUAUACUGUAAUUUGUCUGAUUCUCACAUAUUACCCCAAAUAUUAUUUAUCAUUCAUUCAACAAACAUUUAUUAAAUUGGGCCGUUUGAAAAUAAAGAGGGAGAGAUUUCAACCAGAAUAUGAGCUCCAUGAGCACAGGAUUUUAGUCUGUUUCACUCACUUUUGUAUUUCUAGCACUCAGAACAGUGCCUGGCACAUAGGAGACAAUAAAUAUUUGUAGAUGAAUGAAUGAAUAUUAGCGUGAUUUAAAAAAUCAUUUUAGAGUAAGAGAUAUAAUAAGUAUGUUGGACCUGGAAUUGUGAAUAUCAUAAAGCCCAUCAUUCAGAAAAGGAAGAC